RNAcentral lists this ribosomal RNA (497 nucleotides) under uncultured bacterium. RNAcentral describes it as "partial 16S ribosomal RNA". It matches the Rfam family "Bacterial small subunit ribosomal RNA", at positions 28 to 507 of the family's 1533-position model. The record is from RNAcentral.
GAUGAACGCUGGCGGCGUGCCUAAUACAUGCAAGUCGAGCGAACAGACGAGGAGCUUGCUCCUCUGACGUUAGCGGCGGACGGGUGAGUAACACGUGGAUAACCUACCUAUAAGGCUGGGAUAACUUCGGGAAACCGGAGCUAAUACCGGAUAAUAUAUUGAACCGCAUGGUUCAAUAGUGAAAGACGGUUUUGCUGUCACUUAUAGAUGGAUCCGCGCCGCAUUAGCUAGUUGGUAAGGUAACGGCUUACCAAGGCAACGAUGCGUAGCCGACCUGAGAGGGUGAUCGGCCACACUGGAACUGAGACACGGUCCAGACUCCUACGGGAGGCAGCAGUAGGGAAUCUUCCGCAAUGGGCGAUAGCCUGACGGAGCAACGCCGCGUGAGUGAUGAAGGUCUUCGGAUCGUAAAACUCUGUUAUUAGGGAAGAACAAAUGUGUAAGUAACUAUGCACGUCUUGACGGUACCUAAUCAGAAAGCCACGGCUAACUACGUG